GAUGAACGCUAGCGGCAGGCCUAAUACAUGCAAGCCGAACGGCAAGCUUGGUAGCAAUAUCGAGCCUAGAGUGGCGUAAGGGUGCGUAACACGUAUGCAAUCUGCCCACAACAGGAGGAUAGCUCCCCGAAAGGGGAAUUAACCCUCCAUAGCACCACACGAGGGCAUCCGAGGGUGGUUAAACCAAAAGGGGUUGUGGAUGAGCAUGCGGUUGAUUAGCUAGUUGGCGGGGUAACGGCCCACCAAGGCGAUGAUCAAUAGGGGAACUGA
RNAcentral lists this ribosomal RNA (270 nucleotides) under uncultured bacterium. RNAcentral describes it as "partial 16S ribosomal RNA". It matches the Rfam family "Bacterial small subunit ribosomal RNA", at positions 28 to 295 of the family's 1533-position model. The record is from RNAcentral.